AUUUACGUGUAUGUAUUUUUUUUUACCACGUUACAAAAGGUUGGGAAUUCAUCCCACUGUAAUGCCUCAGGUUCGAGAUAGGCUAUAAAAAGACUAGCAAUGGGAAUCCAAGCUCAGAGUCUGCUUGGGAUCCGGUUCGCAAAGUGUAACCCCCCCAAAAAUAUUUUCAAGACGCCUGCCCAGCCGUCAACCUAAUUGAUUUUGGUGAGACGACACUGGUUGACCAUCCUGCGAUUGUUCCUCUGCUGCAGUAUCCCUUCAGCCAGACAGUUUCACAGUGUCCAAAGCCGAUUCUCCGCGCUUGUUAAUUGAAUCGGAUUUCUUAUAGUUUAAAAUCCACACAGACCCAUGUACGGCCCAAACUGUAUAAGGGGUUUAUCUGAAUCUGUAAAGCCAUGGCAGAGAUAUAAAGAGAGCGCAAGAGACUAUACCCGCGUGUUGAACAUUUUUAAAUCUCAAAUAAACAUAUUUACCUGCGGCAUCUGCUGGUGCGCACAGCCUGAGUAGCCAAUGUGAUUUGUUUUAACAGUUCAACUUUGGAAUAUUUGCUUCAUGAGGGCACAUCACCUGCUCAACUAUCAGGUCCCGCCAGUGUGCCACGACGUGCGACACCCCGGCACAGACCGGGAGCCCCGCGGGCCGUGGCAGUAGGGCAUCCCACCCACCGGGGGGGCCGGUCACUGGCAUGAAGAGUGGACGCGGUGCAGGUGUCCCCACGGCCUCGCUCUUAAACCCAACUGUCCAAGCUACCGUCAGAAGUGUUGAUCCCAAUUUAAUGGUGUGCAAACAAAAAUAAUAAGAUUAGGUCACACCGACCGCUUGUAGACAUCAACCUGAAACCCAGCAAUAUUCAGGUUAUGUUUCACAUCGUUUGUAUUGAAAACCAUUAAAACAAAUAGCCUAACAAAUGCAUCUACGGUAUAUGCUACAUUUCUCUUCUGCACUGCGUAGUCCAUUGGUAAAUCCACAGGUCAGUUCUAUAGCGACCAAUGAGGAUAUUUAGAAACGGAUAAUAAUCUUGUAAUACCACCUUUUUUAGAGACAAGAAAAGGAUACAAUCUGCUAUCUGAUAGGAUACACCCUGCUUUUGUCAUUUCCAGUUGAUGACCUACAUAUAUUGGAUUUAAUAAAAAUACUUUACUCUGUU
Molecule: long non-coding RNA, 1147 nt
Organism: Esox lucius (northern pike)
Lineage: Eukaryota; Metazoa; Chordata; Actinopteri; Esociformes; Esocidae
Exons: 2
Source: RefSeq, a predicted model, not a curated record